GACGAAGGUGGCGAGCGUUGUUCGGAAUCACUGGGCAUAAAGAGCACGUAGGCGGCUAAGUUAGUCGGAUGUGAAAUCCCACGGCCCAACCGUGGAAGUGCCUCCGAUACUGCGAGUCUAGAGGGAACAGGGGCAUGCGGAACUUCCGGUGGAGCGGUGAAAUGCGGUAGAUAUCGGAAGGAACACCGGUGGCGAAAGCGGCGUGCUGG
RNAcentral lists this ribosomal RNA (209 nucleotides) under uncultured bacterium. RNAcentral describes it as "partial 16S ribosomal RNA". It matches the Rfam family "Bacterial small subunit ribosomal RNA", at positions 524 to 732 of the family's 1533-position model. The record is from RNAcentral.